GGUUUUUCCAACGAAACGAAUAAGUUUUGGAUUGAGAUUUCACAUAAGCAUUGCACAAUGAUCCGCAUUAGGCGGGGAGCAGCAAUGAUACCGCCGGCCAGGAAUAAGUACUUAUCCCUCUUAUACUUAAUAAAAGAGAAUAGAAGUGAUCGGAAGAGCAGAACG
Molecule: long non-coding RNA, 165 nt
Organism: Triticum aestivum (bread wheat)
Lineage: Eukaryota; Viridiplantae; Streptophyta; Magnoliopsida; Poales; Poaceae
Exons: 3
Source: RefSeq, a predicted model, not a curated record